GGACCCGCACAAGCAGUGGAGUAUGUGGUUUAAUUCGACGCAACGCGAAGAACCUUACCAAGGCUUGACAUAGUACUGAAUAUGGUGGAAACAUCAUAGUCCUUCGGGACAGUAUUACAGGUGGUGCAUGGUUGUCGUCAGCUCGUGUCGUGAGAUGUUGGGUUAAGUCCCGCAACGAGCGCAACCCCUUUUAUUAGUUGCCAUCAGGUAAAGCUGGGAACUCUAAUGAUACUGCCGGUGAUAAAUCGGAGGAAGGUGGGGAUGACGUCAAAUCAUCAUGCCCCUUAUGUCUUGGGCUACACACGUACUACAAUGGCUAUUACAACAGGAAGCGAAAGAGUAAUCUGGAGCAAAUCCCCAAAGAUAGUCCCAGUUCGGAUUGUGGGCUGCAACUCGCCCACAUGAAGUCGGAAUUGCUAGUAAUCGCAGGUCAGCAUACUGCAGUGAAUACGUUCCCGGGUCUU
This 464-nucleotide ribosomal RNA is filed under the name uncultured bacterium. RNAcentral describes it as "bacterial SSU rRNA". It matches the Rfam family "Bacterial small subunit ribosomal RNA", at positions 917 to 1382 of the family's 1533-position model. The record is from RNAcentral.